GGUGAUGAUGGUGAUGAAGAUGAAGGUGAGGAGGGGGAGGAAGGUGAUGAUGGUGACGAAGAUGAAGGUGAGGAGGAGGAGGACGGUGGUGGUGGUGACGACGAAGAGGAAGAUGAGGAAAACGGUGAGGAAGAGGAGGAAGAAGAGGAGGAGGAAGAUGACAACGGUGGUGACAAAAGGGAGGAGGAGGAGGAAGGUGAGGAGGAGGAGGAGGAAGAGGAAGGCAACGGUGAUGAUGAGGAGGAUGAGGAUGGUGGCGGUGAGGAUGAAGAGCGCGAGGACCAUGGGGGCUCUUCACAGUGGUGACGGAUGAUGAUGAUGAUGAUGAAGACGGCUCUUCCAACCAUGAUGAUGAUGAUGAUGAAGAUGGCUCUUCCAACUGUGACGAUGAUGAUGAUGACGAUGACAAUGAUGAUGACGAUGAUGAUGAUGAUGGCUCUCCCAAGGGUGCCGAUGACAACGGGGGCUCUUCGUAAUGUUGAUGAUGAAGAUGAAGAUGAAGAAGAUGAAGAUGAAGAUGGGGCUCUUCAUCGAGGUGACGAUGAUGGCGAUGGCUCUUCCAAUUGUGACAAUAACGAUGACGAUGACGAUGACGAAGGCUCUUCCAACGUUGACGAUGACAAUGGGGGCUCUUCAUCACGGUGACGAUGACGACGGCUCUUCCAACGUUGACGAUGACGGGGUUCUUCCAAAGAUGACGACGACGACGAUGAUGAAGACGACAAUGAUGAUGACGACGAUGAUGAUGACGAAAAUGACAAUGGGGGCUCUUCAUCACGGUGACGAUGACGACGGGGCUCUUCCGGCGGUGACAAUAAUGGCGGGCUCUUCAUCACGUUGACUUUAACGAUCACGACGAUGACGACGGAGCUCUUCCACCGGUGACGAUGACGAUGACGGGGCUCUUCCAACGUUGACAAUGAUGAUGACGACAACGAUGACAAUGGGGGUUCUUCAUCAC
This 961-nucleotide long non-coding RNA is filed under the name Anser cygnoides (Swan goose). Its description in RNAcentral is "lncRNA (ENSACDG00005008639.1)". Lineage: Eukaryota; Metazoa; Chordata; Aves; Anseriformes; Anatidae. The record is from RNAcentral.